UAUAUUACUUUAUUUAUUUUUGGGCAGAGGUUAUCAAAGGCAAUGGAAAGCAUAUUAGCCAAACAGUCAAGCUGUGGGUCGAGCAAUAUGAAACGGAUUCAAAAUCUGCAAUGGUUGAACUCUUGACAAUGCUCUUUAAGGCAUGUGGUGCCAUAUAUACUAUAAAAGGCUAACUUCUAGAUGAGAUUGAUGUCGAUGAUGUUGUUGUUGCACUGGUCGAGCUUGCUAGACGAGGGGAAGUUGAAGAUUACCAAAGCUCAAAAAAGGAGUUUAAGAAUUUCAAAGAUAAUCUUCAGUUAUUCUGGGACAGAUUGGUACGUGAGAGUCAACAUGGCCCUCUCUUUGAUCAGGUUCUGUUCGACAAGUGCAUGGACUAUAUAAUAGCUUUGUCAUGCACUCCUCCAAGAGUCUAUCGUCAAGUUGCUUCUAUUAUGAGACUUCAACUCGUCACAUCCUUCAUAACUGUUGCUGAUGUCCUCAGUGCUCAACGUGAAACAACUCGUAGGCAGUUAGAUGCUGAAAAAAAGAAAAGAGCCGAGGGACCUCGUGUUGAGUCACUAAGCACAGGGUUUUCAGUGACUCAUGACAAGAUAACAAUGCUACAGGAGAUGAUG
This is a long non-coding RNA of Humulus lupulus (European hop), 614 nucleotides long. RefSeq lists it as uncharacterized. NCBI's taxonomy places the organism in Eukaryota, Viridiplantae, Streptophyta, Magnoliopsida, Rosales, Cannabaceae. The record is from RefSeq and is a predicted model, not a curated record. The transcript is spliced from 4 exons.